CUUACAUUCUCUGUACAAAUCUUUGAAGUUUUUUGUGGUCUAAGCUGCUCCCAGGAAUUUAGUUUACUGUCUAAUCUCUACAACUGUACUGAUGACAGGCUUUGUUGUAUCCAUGUCAGAGAAAGGUAAACCCAGAAAACUAAUUUCUCAAUAUUCCAGGAAUUAGAAGUAGAAAUAAAACUUGAAUCUAGUUUCAUGGUUUCAGGAAUUUUGUUGCGAAGUCCAUAAAGGCAAUAAUGUUAUUUCUCUCCUUACUACGUCUGCUGUAGCUUACUGAACAUAAGUGGUUCGAGAACUUAGUGAUGAUUACUCUGGUAAGCCCAGGGAAUCUAUGUAUAGAGAGAGAGUCUAACUAAUAUUUGUGCAAUCACUAUGUGACUGGCACUGUCCUAAUUAUUUACAAGUAUUAAAUUAUUUACAGGUUGAGUAUCCCUUGUAUGAAAUGUUUAGGACCAGAAGUAUUGAUUUUGAAUUCCUUCAGAUUUAGGAAUAUUUGAAUGAGGUAUCUUGGGAAUGGGACCCAGUUCUAAACAUGAAAUUCAUUUAUAUUUUAAAUAUACUUUAUAUGUAUAGCCUGGAGGUAAUUUUAUACAAUAUUUUACAUAACUUUGUGCAUGAAACAGAAUUUGUGUACAUUGAACCAUCAGAAAGCAAAGGUGUCAAAGAUGGGAUUUUCCACUUGUGUCUUGUUGGUGCUCAAAAAUUUUCAGAUUUUGGAGUAUUUUGAAUUGUGGAUUGGCGUGCUCAACAUAUAUUUUCCACAGUGAUCUCUAAAGUAGGUGUGGUUAGCUCCAUUUUAUAGGUGAGUAACCUGAGGCAUAAAAAGGCCAGAUAACUUGUACAAGGUCACAGGACUAGUAAAUGACAGCUGAGCAGCUGAGCCCAGGCAGUCUGGUUAGAAAGCCUGUGCUCUUAAUUAUUAACACCACAACUUUUGUCUUCAGAGAUCUUAGGAAGAGCAAAAAACCCUAAGCUUUUAGUACAAAUUAUUGGUAGUAUUGAACGUUGUCUUUGUCCGUUUUCACAGUGCUAUUAAAAACUACAUGAGACUGGAUAAUUUGUACAGAAGAGGUUUAAUUGACUAACAGUUCAUGUGGCUGGGGAGGUGAAGGAGAAGCACAGCACGUUUUACAUGACCACAGGAGAGAGAACAAAGCAGGGAAGUGCCACACUUUUAAAUGGUCAGAUCUCGUGAGAACUCAGUAUCACGAGAACACUGUGGGGGAAACUGUCCCCAUAAUCCAGUCACCUUCCAGUAGGUUCCUCCUGUGACAUGUGAGGAUUACAAUUCAAGUUGAAAUUUGGGUGGGGACACAGAGUCAAACUACAUCAAACAUAUACAAGGGGACUUCAAAAAGUUUGUGGAAAAAUGGAAUUAAAACAUAAGAAUAAAAAUGUAAACUUUACUUCUCAAUGUAAGUUCCAUCAAGUUCGAGACACUUUUGUGAAUGAUGAUACCAGUCAUUUAAUCUGUUCCUGUAGAAUGAGGGUGUCUGGAUACCUGGAGACUAGGGGUAAAAAAGAACUGAGUCCCUGCUAAUUUAACCAUGUCAAUGUAAUCUUUUUUGGUUGAAGAAAAAUGGGUGCCCUUUAAAGACUUUUAAAGAUUAGGAAAUGAAAAGAAGUCAGAAAGAGCCAAAUUAGGAUCUUAGAGGUGGAUGCCUAAUAAUGCCCCAUUGAAAUUCUUGCAAAAUUGACCUUGUUGGAUUAGAGGAAUGAACAGGAGCAUUGCCAUGGUGGAGGACUUUCUGGUGAAGCUUUCCUGGGCAUUUUUCUACUAAAGCUUUGGCUAACUUUCUCAAAACAUUCUCAUAGUAAGCAGAUGUUACUGUCCUUUGGCCCUCCAGAAAGUCAACAAGCAAAAUGCCUUAAGCAUUCCCAAAAAAUUGUUUCCAUAACCUUUGCUCUUGACUGGUUCACUUUUACUUUGACUGGACCACUUCCGCCUCUCGGUAGUCAUUGCUUGGUUGUGCUUUAUUUUCAGGAUUGUACUCGUAAAGCCAUGUUUUAUCUCCUGCCUCAAUUCUUGGAAGAAAUGCUUCAGGAUCUUAAUCCCACUUGUUUAAAAUUCUCAUUGAAAGCUUUGCUCUUGUCUGUAGCUGAUCUGGGUGUAGUGGUUUUGGCACCAGUCAAGUGGAAAGUUUGCUCAACUUUAAUUUUACAGUCAGAAUUGUGUAGGCCAAACCAAUUGAGAUGUCUGUGGUGUUGGCUUUUGUUUCUACUGUUAAUUGUUGGUCUUCUUCAGUUAGGGCAUGGUCAAGAUUAAUUUCUUCCUUGAAAAUUUAUGUGGUCUGCCACUAUGGGCAUCAUCUCUAACAUCAUUUUAUCCCUUCUCAAAAUGUAAACUGCAGAUUUCUUUGGGACAUUAUCCCCAUAAACUUUUCCUGAAGUAUCAGUGAUUUCACCAUUCUUUUACCCGAGCUUCACCAUAAAGUUGAUGUUUGUUCUUGCUUUAGUUUUAACAGAAUUCAUAUUGCCCUGAUAGGGGCUCUUUUCAAACUAAUAUCUUAUCCUUCUUAGUGCCUCAAACUAGAUCCUGUUCAGACAUGAAAAAGUGUGAAUUUAUUUUGGUGAAAAAUUGAAAUCCAUGCAUAGUUUUUUUUUCAUAAUGAACAUUUUCCAGGAAACUUUUGAUGGCUCCUUGUAUCAAUCUCCCUUUGGCUGACAAAAUUAUGUUACCUUUCAUCUAUAGGUAGUAUACUCUGUAAGUUUAAAGUGGUAGUGUGAAGCUGUAAACUCUGAAGUUAUGGGUUCUAGCCCUGUUCUUGCUACAUAGCUUGAGAGUGCUGUCUUCUCUUGUUUCCUUGUCUCUGGAAUAAUUGGCAGUGGACAAGACGAUUCCCUCUUAGCUCAAAAUGUGUAGCCCUUUGCAUGAUCUAUAGCACCUAGUUAUUUUUGCACCUUAGUAGAUACUUGCACAUAUGAAUUGUUUUGUGUUUGACCUUUACUUAAUAUACCUGCUUUUUUAGUACAAAUCACAAUCUACAUUCAGCAAGCAAACAGAUAAUUCAACAAGGAAAACAGAUUUUUUUAUUUACAUUUUUACCAGUGUCAGCUCUACUGACAUGCAUUAAUUGGAAAUUGACUAUGGCCUGGUAACCUUUAAUCUGAAAGCUGCCAUGCUUUGCCAUGAUACUUCAUAGUUGGUUCCCCAUUUAAGAAUAAUGCAGCUCUGACCCUGUGUCCUCAUUUGUAUGGCUCAUUUUGUGAUAAUAGGGGCAGAAGAUAGAAAUAAACCUUUAAAAAAUUUAAAAAAUCAUUCUCUUGUUUCUAAAAUGGACAUGAAGUUUGUUAUUUGAUUUAUUUGAAAUAAAUGAUAAGUUGUCUGGAGAAGGAAAUACUAUUAUUACCAGUAGAGAUUGGGGAUGUGUGGUUGCUCUUUAAUGACAGAAAUAAUUCCGGAGACAAUACACACAUUUAAAUGAUAAACUUUUCUGAGAGAUCAACUGUAGCUAAACUAUAGGAAAGUCUUAUUAGACUUUCAUAACUGGGGUAGGCAAGUGUAAAAGGACUCCUGACUGUUCCCAUAUAAUUCAAGACAGGAGCUAUUCUAGUUUAUAUUUUCUGAAGAUCUGAAAUGUGGCCCAGAUUCCGGUAUCCUUGUGAACCACACCAAAAGAAAAAUUUGCAACAAACUAGAACAUUUUACCCUUGUACAAAAUUAGGUUUGUCAACAUUUAGAAAUAGUUCUAAAUCAUGUGGGCUUUUUUUAUUUUUUAUUUUUUGCCUUUAAAAGAAAUAUGUAUCUAUAUGUAUGUAUGUGUAUAUAUAUUUAUAUAUGUACACUUAGUACAAUUUCACUGUCUAAAAAGUGCAACUGUAAAAGCGGUGUGCUGAGAGUUGUAAAAGGACUUUUCUACCAAAAGGAUGCCUUAAAAAUUUUUUAAGAAAAGAAAAAAAAUUAUAGUAAACUUUGAACUGUUUUACCACAAAAAAGGUCAUUGAAACUUUAAAAUAUAAAUUGAUUAUUAAAAGAAGUAAAAAAGUUUCGGUACAGUUCUGCCCUUUUAUAGUAGGCCACUGUCAAAAAUUCUAAUUUAGUCUGGGGAGGGGCCUUAUACAUUUGUAAUUCUUUUAAAAGCCCCCCACCCUAAAACCACUAAAAAAGCGUAGCAGUACCUUCCUACAGAUCUAUAAAACAUACAAUGUCAGGUGAAAUGCUGGGCCCAGCAACCUUUGCUUCUCACCUGGCAUGAGAUUUAUUUAUUCAGUUUGUGUACAAGUAAUUGUGAACAUAUUCUUGUUCUGAGAGUUAGGAAAAACUUCCUUAAGUCACUAAUACAAUGGCAAGGGAGAGCAAGGAGAAUGAAAUAAAAUUAUUCUGCUAGUGGCUAAAUGCUUAAAACUUAGGUGAAUUUCCAUUUUGAUGAGUUAAGAAAACAAAACCAAACUAAAAAGAAUUGAGCUUUUCUUUUACACUUCUUGUGCCGAAAUGUUUCAUUACUGUGGUCUCUUUGCAUGAUCAGCUGGUUUAAUCACACACAGGACCCUAAACCCCAUCUGUAUGUAGUUGACUGAUGUGCUGGUAAGCCUUUGAUAACUUUGAUGUUUGGUUAAAUCUGUGUAGUAUUGCUUUAAGUCUCUCUUUUAAUCAUUCAAAAGCUAAAUAAUUACAUCAGUUCUUAUAAGAUUUUCCAAAGAUGAAUUCUGUAUUAGUUGCAUGAGUGGCUCAUUUUCUUGGAAUUUUUUGGGGGUUACUAAAUUAUAAUAAGUAAUAACUGGGGAAGCUUUAAAACUGCCUUAGUUUUCUAACUUUUUGUGUUUGUGUUCAAAAAUAAUUAAGUUGAUGGUAAUAUGUGGAAAGUGAUUAAAAUUUUGUUUCAAUGGGCUUUGAUGUAGUGAGAAAACAGUUAUUAAUUAUGCACAGAUGAGGUUGUCUUUUGUUUGAUUAAUGGAUAUUACUCAGUGACCAG
This is a long non-coding RNA of Sapajus apella (tufted capuchin), 4913 nucleotides long. RefSeq lists it as uncharacterized. The transcript has 3 exons. The record is from RefSeq and is a predicted model, not a curated record. NCBI's taxonomy places the organism in Eukaryota, Metazoa, Chordata, Mammalia, Primates, Cebidae.